AACUGUGAAGAUAAACCUGUGUUGACUCCAUCUAGACUGGUGGUGAAGUACGGUGAUCCAGCCUCUGCCACAUGUGUGGCUUGUCAAAAGGACUGUCUUCCUGUUGAUGAGAGCGUUAUUGAUAUGGAAGUAUCUGUGGGAAAAAGCUCAACAAAUGGAACCACAGUGAAUUGGACUGUAGACCGUCUUACAGUAUGGGACAGUGAACCAAAAUGCUACUAUACUGACAAGAAUGAUAAACAGUGUUGCAGCCGCCUGUCCCUUACUGUGUACCAGCCUCCAGAAAAUGUUUCCAUCAGCUUAAAUCAAAGUGGACCUCUGACCGAGCAUACAGAGUACAUCCUGAAGUGCUCUGUACAAGAGGUAGCUCCCAUUC
This is a long non-coding RNA of Cyprinodon tularosa, 376 nucleotides long. RefSeq lists it as uncharacterized. The transcript is spliced from 2 exons. NCBI's taxonomy places the organism in Eukaryota, Metazoa, Chordata, Actinopteri, Cyprinodontiformes, Cyprinodontidae. The record is from RefSeq and is a predicted model, not a curated record.